CACUCCUACGGGAGGCAGCAGUGGGGAAUUUUGGACAAUGGGCGAAAGCCUGAUCCAGCCAUGCCGCGUGCAGGAUGAAGGCCUUCGGGUUGUAAACUGCUUUUGUACGGAACGAAACGGCCUUUUCUAAUAAAGAGGGCUAAUGACGGUACCGUAAGAUUAAGCACCGGCUAACUACGUGCCAGCAGCCGCGGUAAUACGUAGGGUGCAAGCGUUAAUCGGAAUUACUGGGCGUAAAGCGUGCGCAGGCGGUUAUGUAAGACAGUUGUGAAAUCCCCGGGCUCAACCUGGGAACUGCAUCUGUGACUGCAUAGCUAGAGUACGGUAGAGGGGGAUGGAAUUCCGCGUGUAGCAGUGAAAUGCGUAGAUAUGCGGAGGAACACCGAUGGCGAAGGCAAUCCCCUGGACCUGUACUGACGCUCAUGCACGAAAGCGUGGGGAGCAAACAGGAUUAGAUACCCGGGUAGUCCCAUG
RNAcentral lists this ribosomal RNA (474 nucleotides) under uncultured organism. RNAcentral's name for it is "partial 16S ribosomal RNA". It matches the Rfam family "Bacterial small subunit ribosomal RNA", at positions 334 to 799 of the family's 1533-position model. The record is from RNAcentral.